RNAcentral lists this transfer RNA (66 nucleotides) under Adrastus rachifer. RNAcentral's name for it is "tRNA-Tyr". It matches the Rfam family "tRNA". From Rfam's summary of the family: Transfer RNA (tRNA) molecules are approximately 80 nucleotides in length. Lineage: Eukaryota; Metazoa; Arthropoda; Insecta; Coleoptera; Elateridae. The record is from RNAcentral.
AGUAAAAUGGCUGAGGUUAGGCGAUAAAUUGUAAAUUUAUUUACGGAGAUUAAUCUUCUUUUACUA